AGAGUUUGAUCCUGGCUCAGAAUGAACGCUGGCGGCGUGUUUAAGACAUGCAAGUCGAACGGAGUAACAUGAGUAGCAAUACAAGUGUUGCUCAGUGGCGCACGGGUGCGUAACACGUGAGUUACAUGCCCUGCAGAGAGGGAUAGCCCAGGGAAACUUGGAUUAAUACCUCAUGGUCUCGCAAGAGUAAAGAUGGCCGUAAGGCUGUCACUGCAGGAUUGGCUCGCGGCCUAUCAGCUAGUUGGUGAGGUAACGGCUCACCAAGGCUACGACGGGUACCUGGUCUGAGAGGACGAUCAGGCACACUGGAACUGAGACACGGUCCAGACACCUACGGGUGGCAGCAGUCGAGAAUCAUUCACAAUGGGGGCAACCCUGAUGGUGCAACGCCGCGUGGAGGAAGAAGGUCUUCGGAUUGUAAACUCCUGUCAUCUAGGAGCAAGGCAUGGUGGUGAAUAGCCAACAUGAUUGAUAGUACUAGAAGAGGAAGGGACGGCUAACUUCGUGCCAGCAGCCGCGGUAAUACGAAGGUCCCGAGCGUUAUUCGGAAUCACUGGGCGUAAAGGGAGCGUAGGCGGCGUGGAAAGUCAGAUGUGAAAUCCCAGAGCUCAACUCUGGAACUGCAUCCGAUACUACCAUGCUAGAGUAUUGGAGGGGUAACUGGAAUUCUCGGUGUAGCAGUGAAAUGCGUAGAUAUCGAGAGGAACACUCGUGGCGAAAGCGAGUUACUGGACAAUUACUGACGCUGAGGCUCGAAGGCUAGGGGAGCAAAAGGGAUUAGAUACCCCUGUAGUCCUAGC
RNAcentral lists this ribosomal RNA (800 nucleotides) under uncultured bacterium. RNAcentral describes it as "bacterial SSU rRNA". It matches the Rfam family "Bacterial small subunit ribosomal RNA", at positions 8 to 800 of the family's 1533-position model. The record is from RNAcentral.